Molecule: long non-coding RNA, 1518 nt
Filed under: Capsicum annuum
Lineage: Eukaryota; Viridiplantae; Streptophyta; Magnoliopsida; Solanales; Solanaceae
Description: long non-coding RNA (CANN_LNC016691)
Source: RNAcentral
UAGAUAAUAAAUGAGAUAAAAUUAUUUGUUUGAGAUCAGAACACUACGAACAAAAAAUUACAAGAAAUCAUUGGCAUAGAUAUAAACAGUGCACUCCUUUCUACUAUUACGGACACACUUCUACUUACUAAUCCUCUACCUUCAUUCGCAUUCUCCACACCUUCUUAUUAAGGGUCAUGUCCUCCGUAAGUUGUAGCCGCUCCAUGUCAUGUCUAAUCACCUCCCUCCAAUAUUUCUUCGGCCUAUCCCCAUCCCGCCUACAACCAUCAAAAGCCAGCCUGCCUGUCACACCUCCAUACUAAAGCAUCCGUGCAUCUCCUCAUCAAAUAUUUGAAUUAUAGCAAUUUCACUUUCUGCAUCUUAUCUUCCAUCGAAGCCACUCCAACCAAAGCCACUUCAAACAAAUUAAUUUUAUACAAUGAAGUCACAUAGUCAUAAUGCAUAAAUAAUUGUUGUUGUAUGUUUUAUUGACAGCGCAAAUCUUAAUAGUUAAUCAGUUUCAAUAAUCAAGUGAUUAUUUUUACGAGUUUGUAUGAUCGUACAUACAAACUAAUUGCCUUGAAAUUUUAAUUUGAAAUGCAUAAAUCAUUUAGUACAGUAAUAUAACUUAAACAAUUAAAAUUUUCAUAUUAUUAACGUUUAUAUAGUGUAGGGUGUUUACUAAAAAAGACAAUAUACAUAUUCAAACAACAGCAACUUUUAAAAAAUAAACAUAUCCAACCGAAAAUAUUUUUUUAUGUCAUAAAUUAUCAUCAUUUACUAAAAGAUAUGACAUAAAAGAAUAAUAAAAGCAUGCAAAAAACUUUAUAAGAGUCUAACAAGUCUGAAUUUGCCAUGAUAUGAAGAAACAAAGAAAUUAUAAUAUUUAUGUUAAAAGAACAUUUUAACGCACUAAAAAAAAUUCCAUAAAAGAAUGAAUGACAUAGUAAAAACAUUUUUAAAAAAAUCUAUUAAGUACAUAAUCCUUAUUAGGAAAAAUAUUUAAUAUGUAAUUAUAAUAUUAUAGAUUUGCAAUGAUAGAAAAAUAUAAAUAAAGAAAUCUAAUUAAUAUUAUGAGUUGGUCAAAAUUCUUCUGAAAAAGGAAUUAACAUAAAUUUCUUAUUUAUUAUCCAUGUUCAUUUUUGGUUAGUUACCCCAAAAAGGUGAUAAUUUUAUGACUAUGAAUACAUUGGUGUGAUAAUUUUGGUUAGUUACCAAAUAAAUGUGAGAAUUUUAUCACUAUAAAUACACUCAAAAUGUUGAGUGUUGAAACCCAACAUUACAUUUUGAGUCGAAUCAUGAUAAACUCUACUGACCGCAAACCAGUUAUCCCUAAGAAGACAUUGCGUUCGCAGGCGAAUGAACUCACUCGCAACCAUAUGUGGUGGUGAAAUGGACAUUGUAAUUCUUUCUCCUGACAACAAUAUCAUCUAUUCAACUGAAAACUCAUCUGUCACUUCAGUUGUGGAUCGAUUUCUCGAGGUGAAUCCUUCACCCAUCUCCCAGCCCCGUCAAAAUGUUAAAACCCAUUUUGAGAGG